Molecule: ribosomal RNA, 496 nt
Filed under: uncultured bacterium
Lineage: Bacteria
Description: partial 16S ribosomal RNA
Rfam family: Bacterial small subunit ribosomal RNA
Source: RNAcentral
GAUGAACGCUGGCGGCGUGCCUAAUACAUGCAAGUCGAGCGAACGGACGAGAAGCUUGCUUCUCUGAUGUUAGCGGCGGACGGGUGAGUAACACGUGGAUAACCUACCUAUAAGACUGGGAUAACUUCGGGAAACCGGAGCUAAUACCGGAUGAUAUUUUGAACCGCAUGGUUCAAAAGUGAAAGACGGUCUUGCUGUCACUUAUAGAUGGAUCCGCGCUGCAUUAGCUAGUUGGUAAGGUAACGGCUUACCAAGGCAACGAUGCAUAGCCGACCUGAGAGGGUGAUCGGCCACACUGGAACUGAGACACGGUCCAGACGCCUACGGGAGGCAGCAGUAGGGAAUCUUCCGCAAUGGGCGAAAGCCUGACGGAGCAACGCCGCGUGAGUGAUGAAGGUCUUCGGAUCGUAAAACUCUGUUAUUAGGGAAGAACAUAUGUGUAAGUAACUGUGCACAUCUUGACGGUACCUAAUCAGAAAGCCACGGCUAACUACGU